GCCCGGGUGGUGAAAUUGGUAGACGCGCCGGACUCAAAAUCCGGUCCCGAAAGGGGUGUCGGUUCGAUUCCGACCCCGGGCACCA
RNAcentral lists this transfer RNA (85 nucleotides) under Rhodoferax sp. Its description in RNAcentral is "tRNA-Leu". It matches the Rfam family "tRNA". From Rfam's summary of the family: Transfer RNA (tRNA) molecules are approximately 80 nucleotides in length. RNAcentral also lists the same sequence under 1 other name. The record is from RNAcentral. Lineage: Bacteria; Pseudomonadati; Pseudomonadota; Betaproteobacteria; Burkholderiales; Comamonadaceae.